CAAAGGAUUGGAGCUACGUCAUCUGUCAUCUGUCAAGCGUAAUAAAAAUUUUGAGUUUGUAACUUGUACGCUAAAGGAAAUAAGGAUGUAAAUGAAAGUAAGUGUCACUGAGAGCCUACCUUCAGUUUAAAGGUCUCUCCAAUAUGAGAAACAUAUGUGCUUCUUCAAUUCAGUAAUGCAAAUGUUCAAGCACACGUUCAAGUUCAAGCAAUUCAAGCACAUUGGUUGACACACAACUGUUUGAAUAAGUGACCAUGUUGUGCAGCUGAAGGUUUAGAUAGGAAUUAUUCCUGCAACAGUCCUUGUCAGCCUUUCAAGAGCUUGAAAACUGCAAUCCCAUGGUGAAUUCAUCAAAAAUUUUAGCCAUUAAAGUUGCUGAGACAAAUCAGCGUUGGCUAUAACCCUUGGUUCAGGUACACUCGUAACACUAACAUUGGGAUUCUUUCUCAAGGAUAUUAUUGUCCAGCUAUAACAGGAGGAACAGGAAAACGAAGGCAAUCAUUGUCAACAAUAACUCCUCCAUCCCUUUUCACCCAAGUCUGUAUUCUGUAAAAAGAGUGCCCAAUUUCAGCAGCAAUAUGACAAUGAGUAAGUUAAAGUUUUAUGAGUAAGUCUAAAUUACAAUUUUAGUCGUAAUUCAUCGAUUAAUUAACUAACAAUUAAGCUUUUACGUCAUCUGCGGAUGGUCUGAAGAAAAUACACGGCGGCGCCACGCCACCAUGAGCUAUUUUAAUUUACCUCUAUUUUUGCGAAAACUAACUGACGGAAGAU
Molecule: long non-coding RNA, 771 nt
Organism: Daphnia pulicaria
Lineage: Eukaryota; Metazoa; Arthropoda; Branchiopoda; Diplostraca; Daphniidae
Exons: 3
Source: RefSeq, a predicted model, not a curated record